GCCUGACUCAGAGUCGCUGUAAUGAAUGCUCGGGAAGUUAUGGAGAGAAAGGAGACGAUCCCAGUGAUUAAUGCCAAAGCCCUGUUGCCUGUGGAGAGGGUGAUGUUUGACUUUCUUGUACAGCUGCAGUUUGUGUGGUGAAGGUGCUCCCACAAUGUGGUUGGAUCCCAGUGAUUAAUGCCAAAGCCCCAUUGCCUGGGGAGAGGGUGAUGUUUGACUUCCUUGUACAGCUGCAGUUUGUGUGGUGAAGGUGCUCCCACAAUGUGGUUGGGUGGACAUUCAGAUGGUAACCUUAGUCAUUGUAACACCAAACUCUGACAGAAUUACUCAGUUCAUCAGGACCUGGAUAUUUGCAUUUAGUUAGAAUCCACCUUAUCUGCAAGACUUUGGAUUGAGAGAGGAAACCAGAGCACCCAGAGGAAGGCCACGCAGGCACACACUGGGAGAAUGUGCGAACACCACACAGACAGUGGAAUUGAACCCAGUCCAUUUAUUAAUCAGUGCUCUGACCAAUAAUGGUCACCAUCCCAAAUGUCAACAAAUGAUCUCCCUGGAACUCUACUUUGCAGGAACUAUGCAGUUGUUCUGAGCCCUUCAGAGGGAUUGAAGGGGAUGGAGAGAAAACAGCAACAGGGUUGAAUUUUGAUCUGUAAAAAUUCUCUCCAUCUUCCCCCUCUCUGCCUGUCUCCCUUGUCUGCUUGUUGCCCCCGUCUCCCCCUCUCUGUCUGCCCCCUCCCUGCGCCUGUCCCCGUUGCUUCCUCUGUCCCCACUGUCUGUUCCCCAUCUCUCUCUUCCCCCUUCUCUGUGCCACCCCUCUCUAUCCCGCCAGCCUCUCUGUCUCCCCACCCUCUGCCACCCCAUCCCUGCCUUCCCUCAUCUCCCUAUUCCCUAGGUCUGUACUCCCCCACCACAGGGAAAAGACGUUGUCUAUUUAACCUACCCAUGCCCGGCAUGAUUUUAUAAAUCUCUAUAAGGUCACCCCUCAGCCUCCGACACGCCAGGUAAAACUCCUGGCAACAUCCUUGUAAUUCUUUUCUGACCAUUUCAAAUUUGAGAACAUCCUUCUGAUCGGAAGACCGAAAUUGCAUGGCAUAUUCCAAAAGUUGCCUAAUCAAUGUCCUGUACAGCCACAAUAUGACCUCCCAACCCCUAUACUAAACACUCUGACCAAUAAAGGCAAGCAUUCCAACUGCCGCCUUCACUAUCUUAUCUACCUGCGACUUUACUUUCAAGGAACUAUGAAGCUGCAUAACAAGGUCUCUUUGUUUAGCAGCACUCCUCAGGAACUUACUAUUAACUGUAUACGUCCUGCUAAGGUUUGCUUUUCCAAAAUGCAGCACCUCACAUUUUUUUCUAAACUGAACUCUUCGGCCCAUUUGCCCAUGUGAUCCAGCUGCCUUUUACUCUGAGGUAAUCUUUUUCACUGUCCACUCCAACUCCAAUUUUGGUGUCAUCUGCAAACUUCCUAACAAUGCCUCUUAUGUUCACAUCCAAGUCAAUGAUAUAAAUGACAAAAAGUAGUGGAUCCAGCACAAAUCCUUGUGACACUCCACUGGUCACAGGCAUCCAGCCUGAAAAGCACCACUCAACCACCAUCCUCACUCUUCGAACUUUGAGCCAGAUUUGUAUCCAGAUGGCUAGUUCUCCCUGUAUUCCAUGAAAUCCAACCUUGCUAACCAGUCUCCCAGGGAACCGUAUCAAACGCCUGACUGAUGACCACUGCUCUGCCCUCAUCAAUCAUUUUUGUUACUUCUUCAAAAAAUUAACUCAAGUUCAUGAGAUGUGAUUUCUCACACGCAAAGCUGUUAAUAAUAUACAGGACUUAACUCUGUACACUGGGGUCUGCGUCACCCAGUUAUGGGUGUUCAUAUUGUGGAUAAAGUUCCCGUACACCAGCUUUGUGUUAGUGACUGUGUACGGAGUCUUAUUAAUAUCACCAACACAGGUGAGUUCCAUUAGAAAGGCAGUCCCUAUAUCCCUAACCCCCUCUCAUCUGCUCUCUCCCCUCCAUCCCCACCGUAGACAGUAAGUGGGAUGAGCUCAUGGAGUUUCCAUGUGAGUGAGAUUGAGAACAUCUUCCCUUCUUUCCACUAGCCCACCAGGAAAUGGUGGUAGUGUCCUUGCCUAUGGACCAGGAGGAUUGGGUUCAGAGUUGAGUAACAGCAUCUUUGAAGAGGCUGAUUAGAAAACCUGCCCAACCCACCAGGCCAUACUGUCUCCCAGCUGUCCCUGCCUAAGCCUCAACAGAACCUUCCUGUAGUUUCUCUCCUGUCAGACUCUCCCAUUGCUCAGUUUGUCCGGGAUCCCCUCCUGCUGCUACACUGCUCCUGUCCCUCACUGACCUGUCCAUUCCCCGAGUCCCUCCUCGUUCAUUCAUUGUUUACAAUCCCAUUGUCCCAGUCCUCCAGCCCCGCCCCCUCCACUCCAUUGGGAAGUAGCUGCUGUCAAUCACCCAAGCUCCUGUGUGAUCUGGAGCGUGUGCUGUCGGAGGGGAGACCAGUGCACAGGCGCGAUGCUGGGCAAUUGGCCACAGGGAGGGUCAGUGCCAGGGAGGGAGGCUAUGGAUGUGUGGGAUUAAUCUAUCAUUGGCAGCUCCCUAUCUUCCUCUGCUGGGAACAGUACCCGGGGAAUGGCCCCUCUCCUGGUAUCCUGACGAGUGGUCAAAUUAUCAAUGGGGGAGGAUUUUGCAGAAAGUUAUCAGAACACAUCUUGUGAAAAUUCAGGAUUGUUAUGGAAAGGGACAACGAUGGGCCUGCAAUUAGAGUUCAAAUUUGGUUCACUUCAGUUCAACCAGAUAGGAUUUUGUCAGUGUGCAGGAUGCAGUGUGUGCAGGAUGGUUCUCUUCAGAGGGUGGAGGUGGGGAAUAUAAAUGAGAGGUUCCAGAUUGAUUUUUUUCCCAAUGUGAUUCCGACAGGAAGGCAAGCCGGGGACCUGGGGAGAGGAUUCACCAACACCCGGGAGGCUCUGAGUCAGAAUCGUUGAUUUGGUUCUUAGUCUGCAGACCAGAGGUCGGUAACUGAAUUCAAGGAGAGGAGAGAGAUUGUGAAAACUGGGUGUGGAGGAAAGGAGUGUGGAGAUUGGUUUGGUCUUCAGUUAACAAGAGAGAGAAAUUGUGAGACUGAGAUUUAAAGCUUUGUGGGGAACAAGAAA
Molecule: long non-coding RNA, 3150 nt
Organism: Hemiscyllium ocellatum (epaulette shark)
Lineage: Eukaryota; Metazoa; Chordata; Chondrichthyes; Orectolobiformes; Hemiscylliidae
Exons: 5
Source: RefSeq, a predicted model, not a curated record